AUCCCUCAAAAACCUUACUUUCCUUAUAAAACCUUCCUCCAAAUAAGUUCAUUUAUCUUAAUUACAUUAAAAAAUCGUACUCUAUCCCCAAAAACUUGUGUAAGUUUUAGGGUUUACGAUCAAAUUAUAGACGUUAUAUUCACAAUUCUUUCUCGUUACCAUCAACUAAUAUUAGUUUGAUUUUUCUUUAUAUCAUAAGCAAUGGUUCAAUGUCCAUUGUUCUCUCUCUCAGUCAG
This 236-nucleotide unclassified non-coding RNA is filed under the name Hevea brasiliensis (rubber tree). Lineage: Eukaryota; Viridiplantae; Streptophyta; Magnoliopsida; Malpighiales; Euphorbiaceae. The record is from RNAcentral.